GAUGAACGCUGGCGGCGUGCCUAAUACAUGCAAGUCGAGCGAAAGCACGAGAGGCAUGUUUCUCUGAUGUUAGCGGCGGACGCGUGAGUAACACGUGGAUAACCUACCUCUACGACUGGGAUAACUUCGGGAAACCGUAGCUAAUACCGGAUACUAUUUUGAACCGCCUGGUUCAAAAGUGAAAGACGGUCUUGCUGUCACUUAUAGAUGGAUCCGCGCUGCAUUGGCUAGUUGGUAAGGUAACGGCUUACCAAGGCAACGAUGCAUAGCCGAGCUGAGAGGGUGAGCGGCUGCGCCGGAUAUGAGACACGGUACAGACACCAACGAGAGGGGACAGAGGAGAAUCUUACACGAGUCAAGAAAGCCUAGCGGGACAAAGCCACGUGAGUGGUGAAGAGCCUAGGAUCGUAGAACUAUAUUAUUAGGGAAAAACAUAUGUGUAAGUAACUGUGCACAUCUUGACGGUACCUAAUCAGAAAGCCACGGCUAACUACGUG
RNAcentral lists this ribosomal RNA (497 nucleotides) under uncultured bacterium. RNAcentral describes it as "partial 16S ribosomal RNA". It matches the Rfam family "Bacterial small subunit ribosomal RNA", at positions 28 to 507 of the family's 1533-position model. The record is from RNAcentral.